Molecule: ribosomal RNA, 1265 nt
Filed under: Gambierdiscus sp. B5_2
Lineage: Eukaryota; Dinophyceae; Gonyaulacales; Pyrocystaceae
Description: eukaryotic LSU rRNA
Rfam family: Eukaryotic large subunit ribosomal RNA
Source: RNAcentral
UAAGUAGGCAGCGGAAACGACACAAACCUGGAUUCCUCAAUUAGUUGCGAAUGAAAGAGAGAGGAUUUCAGCUUGACAUCCAAGGGCACUACCUUUGACAUGAAGAUUUGAUCGUGUGCCAAAGGGAGGGAGGUGGAGAGUGGAUACUGUCUUGGGAGAGGGGUGUGCAAGUGGCAACGAGGGUAACAAGCCUUUGACGCUUGAUGUGUCUUCCUGCACGGCACCUUCUCUAGACUCAUGCUCUUUGAAAGUGGAGUGCAAAGUGGGUGGUAAAUCUCACUCAAAGCCAGAUACAACACUGGGGCCGACAGCAUACAAGUUCCGUGAGGGAAGUGUGAAAAGGACUUUGGAAAGAGAAUUAGAGGAGCCUGAAUGUGCUGAACAGCAGGCAUACAGGGUGGGGGACUUUGGAGAGAUUUCGCUGCGCGACCAAGCAAGUGGUUACCGUAUGUGCAAAGGUUCUGUGGUGUGCGUUGGCAUGACGUGUGUGUGUCUCUUCUUGGAUGUCAAUCAAAGACAGCUGCAGUCAAUGGCAACUGGUGAUGAAGGGUCACUUUUUGCCAGUGGCUGUCACUGCCCAGAUUGUGCACGUGCCUGGGACACGGUGGGGGGGGUGGUACCAUGGCUGACAUGGUGCUCUAAAAAGGUGGGUGUGGGGCGUGUUUGUUGUGCCUCAACAACCCUGCAAGGUGUGUUUUUGUGUCGUGUACAACUGUGUGCCAAUGAAAGUGGAGUCCCAGACCUGUGCAUGAGUGUUCCACCAAACAGGCGGUUGAGGUUUGAGUCUGAGCAUGGCUGCUACGACCCGAAAGAUGGUGAGCUAUAUCUGGCAAGGGUCAAGGCAGGGGAAACUCUGAUGGAGGCUCGCAGCGUUACUGACGUGCAAAUCGUUCGUCGCACUUGGGUAUAGGGGCGAAAGACUAAUCGAACCUUCUAGUAGCUGGUUCUCUUUGAAGUCUCCCUCAGGAUAGCUGGAGUCAGACAGUUUUAUCAGGUAAAGCGAAUGAUUGGAGGAAAUGGGGGUGUGACACUUUUGACCUAGUCUCAAACUUUUAACGGGUAUGCAGCAGAGGUUGCUUUGUGUGAAUUCGCACUGAAUGUGUUGCUCAUGUGGGCCACUUUUGGUAAGCGGAACUGGCGAUGAGGGGUGAACCUAUUGACUGGUUAAGGCACUGGACUUCUUGCUCAUCAGAGAUCAUAAAGGGUGUUGGCUCAUUCAGACAGCAGGACGGUGGUCAUGGAAGUCGAAACCCGCUCGGGAGUGU